RNAcentral lists this transfer RNA (90 nucleotides) under Acidobacteriota bacterium. RNAcentral describes it as "Acidobacteria bacterium (marine metagenome) tRNA-Ser". It matches the Rfam family "tRNA". From Rfam's summary of the family: Transfer RNA (tRNA) molecules are approximately 80 nucleotides in length. Their secondary structure includes four short double-helical elements and three loops (D, anti-codon, and T loops). The record is from RNAcentral. Lineage: Bacteria; Pseudomonadati; Acidobacteriota. RNAcentral also lists the same sequence under 1 other name.
GGAGGGAUGGCCGAGCGGUCGAAGGCGGCGGUCUUGAAAACCGUUAGCGGGGAAACUCGCUCUAGGGUUCGAAUCCCUAUCCCUCCGCCA